AUUACAGAUUCCACAUUGCAGCUAAUCUUCAUUAAACUACCACGUGGUGAAUUUUAAUGUAGUAUCCAAGAAGCAUACUGACACCUUCUCCAUUGUCCUGCUAUGUAUCUGUGUAAGGCCAGAUUUUCUUCGUAUACAUUAACCAAAGCAACAUAUAGCAACAGACUGAAGAGGCAGGUCUCCUGGGACUCUGUUGCAUCAAAUUCUACUCCUAGGCAUCAAUUUUAAAGUAUUUCAUCAGUUGGACCUACCAAAUCUCAAGUCAGGAUUUGGCCAUCUCUGCUCUUGCCAUUCCAUCUCUCACGACUCUAUCCUCAAAGAAAAGAAAACAGUCUUUCAUCAAUUAUGGUUAAAGAUCCCCAAACUGAAACACAUGUGGCUAAACGCCAUUCAUAUCACCAGCCCACACCAGUCUGGUGGUGGGGGAGGGAAGGAAAAAGAGGAGAUAAAUGGCCUACAUGAUUGAUUUCAACUAAGACCCAAAUCUUGGAGAACAAUUAUUGGAUUUACCACUGUUUGUUUUUGCAACAUUUCGGAAAUUGGC
This 544-nucleotide long non-coding RNA is filed under the name Pongo abelii (Sumatran orangutan). Its description in RNAcentral is "lincRNA". Lineage: Eukaryota; Metazoa; Chordata; Mammalia; Primates; Hominidae. The record is from RNAcentral.